Molecule: ribosomal RNA, 465 nt
Filed under: uncultured bacterium
Lineage: Bacteria
Description: partial 16S ribosomal RNA
Rfam family: Bacterial small subunit ribosomal RNA
Source: RNAcentral
CCUACGGGUGGCAGCAGUGGGGAAUAUUGCGCAAUGGGCGAAAGCCUGACGCAGCGACGCCGCGUGAGGGAUGAAGGUCUUCGGAUCGUAAACCUCUGUCAGCAGGGAAGAACGGUCACUGUGCUAAUCAGCAGUGAAUUGACGGUACCUGCAAAGGAAGCACCGGCUAACUCCGUGCCAGCAGCCGCGGUAAUACGGAGGGUGCGAGCGUUAAUCGGAAUUACUGGGCGUAAAGCGCUCGUAGGCGGUAUGUCAAGUCAAGGGUGAAAUCCCCGCGCUCAACGUGGGAACUGCCUUUGAAACUGGCAAACUGGAGUGUGUGAGAGGAUAGUAGAAUUCCAGGGGUAGGAGUGAAAUGCGUAGAUAUCUGGAGGAACAUCAGUGGCGAAGGCGACUAUCUGGCACAUAACUGACGCUGAGGAGCGAAAGCGUGGGUAGCAAACAGGAUUAGAUACCCGAGUAGUC